GGGAGGAAGUGCGCAUGCGGCCUAGCCUCCCGGAACUCCAGGACGGAACCCGGGGUUUCUUCAAAUGUCUGCCAGACUCUUUCAUGAAGCAGGAACCUGAAGGACUGUCCCACCUUGUUUUGGCAAGUUCAGCAGUCAUGUUUCUGUGGGUCCUACAUGUCCAGUUUAUACAGCAUAUUGUUAAGCAGUCCAGAGUUUCAAGAUUGAGCAGACCUUUACAAGAGUGCUUGACCAGUGUUUCCCAGGAACCAGAAGUGACCAACCCUACAGCAGCCAUCUGAAAGAAGAGUCUGUGUUAAUUCACUCAACAGAUGUGUACUGAGUGGUGCGUGUGCCAGGAACUGUCCUGCGAGCUGGAAUACAACAACGGACAAAAGCAAUCCAAGCCUUGGAUUUGGCCGCCCGAAAUCUAGUUGUGUCACUCUCCACUGCUGAAAACCGCUGUCACGUGUGCUCACACUAACUCACUGUUAACUGCAUACCUGGAAAUAGGGGUGACCUUUGCCAUAGGCCCCUGUGCCAGAAGUCACUGUGCCUCUCCAACGUCAUUAAUAACCCAAGGACUGUAUGUUCCACUUAAAUUUUAUUAUCCUUCACACAGAUCCAUAUUGGUAGAAAAAAACACGCUGGCAAUGUUGGAAGUGUAAAUUGGCAACAGCUUUCUGAAAGGCAAUUUGGCAGUUUCUGUAGGGAGGUUUGGAAAUGUUUGUAUCCCCCGAUCCUCUAAGUCCACUUCUGGGAAUCUGUCCUAAGGAAACAGUCUAAAAUAUGGGCAAAAUUUAUGCUUAAUAAUCUGAAAGUCUAACAGUAGAAAUUGGUUAAAUAAAUUGUAGUCUGACUAUAAUAGGCUAGUAUGCAGUCGUGCUAAUGAAGAGUAUUUAACAGCAUAGUGGAAAUGCUUGUGAUGUUUUAAAAGAAACAAGGAAUUAUUUGCAUACAUCAAAAAAUUUUAAAUGACUAGAAAGGAUUUGUUAAGUUUUGAGUUUUUGAAGUUUGAUAUUUUUUGGUUUAUAUACUUUUAAUAGAUAUUUCUUUAAAAUGAGUACAACAAUUAAAAAUUAGCCUCAGAAGUUAGCAGUGGAGAGACUGGGGCUCCAACACUGAUUUGAUCCAGGAAUAUUAACUGGCUUGGUCACAUGGAGGCUUCGUGGUAUUGUGUCGGCAGCCAGAGUGGGACAGAAAGAAAAAGGAUCCCCACUCCCACCCCAAAGGAGUGUGACCAGAACCCCUACAAAAUGCCAAGGUGGUUAUGAAGACACAAGGGGCACACUUCUAGGAUGUGGCCCUAGGUAGGAAAAAGACUUUCUGCAAAGUCCUUGAGCCUCCCAUAGAAUUUCUUUAGUGCUAAAAAUAGCUUUCAAUGUGCUAAGAAGUCUAUCUCCACCCACAGUAGGGCACACAAGCACCAUGGCUGUGGGCUGUAAUAUUUAUUCUACAAUGAGAAAACAACAUGAAAAUCAUGAGACAUUUAACAUUGUAACUUAAAGAACCCUUGAGGUUCAGAAAUGUUACUUUAUUGCUGUCUGGAAUACAUAAUGUGUAUUCCAGAUAUAUAUACAAUAAUACAAAUGUGUCCUGUACAUAAUUGUGUUCUGGUAUUUUUAAAGAUUUAAUUCUAAUUAUUUGGAGGUGAGUGUGUCAAUAUGAAUAUGGGUGCCAGCGUCAGGGAGGGUUCAGAAGAGGGCAUCAGAUGCACUGAAGCUGGAGUUACAGGUGCUUGUGAACUGCUUGCAAUGGUUGCUGGAAACUGAACUCAGACUCUACAAGAACAGCAGGCACUCUUAACCAGGGAGCCAUCUCUUCAGCCUCUAUGCGGUAGGAUUUUAAGUGACAAACUAUGUAGCCUAUGUCUACAACAGAUGAAAUUAAAACAUGCGCUUUAGUAAAAUAUAAAAACGUUAUCACCUUAGUAAAAUUUGCAGCCUUCAAAGGAGCAGACAAAGUAAAAAGCUACAAUUUAAGAGUUGUAGAGGUUAUAGAGGCCUCGAACUGCAUGAGUUCCUCAGGACCUAAGUGUUUAUCCCUCUGCGUAUAGAAAGAAUACAAAUGGGGCUCAGGCUUUGAGUCUGUCUCUUCAGCUGGCUGUGGCACUGGGCAGUUCAUCUACACCCAGUGCCUCCAUUACUCAUCUGUAAGAGGGAAAGAAUACCAUGUAUCUUAUGGUAUUGUUCAUUUCUCUAAUUCAACAAAUACUCAGUGCUUAUAUAUGCCUGACACUGUUCUAGGCAGAGCAUAUGAUAAUAC
Peromyscus eremicus (cactus mouse) is the source of this 2244-nucleotide long non-coding RNA. RefSeq lists it as uncharacterized. NCBI's taxonomy places the organism in Eukaryota, Metazoa, Chordata, Mammalia, Rodentia, Cricetidae. The transcript has 3 exons. The record is from RefSeq and is a predicted model, not a curated record.